RNAcentral lists this long non-coding RNA (2110 nucleotides) under Cicer arietinum (chickpea). Its description in RNAcentral is "long non-coding RNA (CARI_LNC001102)". Lineage: Eukaryota; Viridiplantae; Streptophyta; Magnoliopsida; Fabales; Fabaceae. The record is from RNAcentral.
AGCAUAAAUGUAAACUGGUGGUGGCGGUGAUUUCACUGGAGGGGGAGGUGAUUUGUAAAUGUAUGUGGGAGCCGGAGAUGGGGAUGGAGGAGGUGGUGAUGUGUAGUGGUAUGGAGGUGGAGGAGAUUUUAUAGGUGGGGGAGGACUCACAUAAUGGUAAGGAGGUGGAGGAGACGACGUUGGUGGUGGAGGGGAUUUGUAGUAGUAGGGAGUACGAGGAGUGGGAGAUGGUGGAGGAGGACUUUGAUAGUGAUAAGGAGGUGGUGGAGAUGGAGAUGGAGGUGGGGGAGAUUUGUAAUAGUAAGGAGGUGGAGGUGACGGGGAUGGUGGUGGAGGUGAUUUGUAAUAGUAGGGAGGUGGUGGAGAUGGCGAUGGUGGUGGUGGAGAGUGAUAGUAGUAUGGGGGAGGAGGGGACGGAGAAGGUGGGGGUGGGCUCUUGUAAUAGUAUGGAGGUGGAGGAGAUGGAGAUGGUGGAGGGGGACUCUUGUAGUAGUAAGGAGGUGGUGGAGAUGGCGAUGGUGGUGGUGGAGAGUGGUAGUAGUAUGGGGGAGGAGGGGAGGGAGACGGUGGAGGUGGACUCUUGUAAUAGUACGGAGGUGGAGGGGAUGGAGAUGGUGGAGGGGGACUCUUGUAAUAGUAUGGAGGUGGAGGUGAUGGGGAUGGUGGUGGAGGUGAUUUGUAGUAAUAAGGAGGUGGUGGAGAUGGCGAUGGUGGUGGUGGAGACUUGUAGUAGUAAGGUGGGGGAGGGGAUGGUGAGGGUGGUGGAGGAGAUUUGUAAUAGUAUGGAGGUGGAGGGGAUGGUGAUGGUGGAGGUGGUGACUUGUAAUAGUAUGGUGGAGGAGGGGAUGGUGAUGGUGGUGGUGGAGACUUGUAGUAGUAAGGUGGGGGAGGGGAUGGUGAAGGUGGUGGAGGAGACUUGUAGUAGUAAGGUGGGGGAGGGGAUGGUGAAGGUGGUGGAGGAGACUUGUAGUAGUAAGGUGGGGGAGGGGAUGGUGAAGGUGGUGGAGGAGACUUGUAAUAGUAUGGUGGAGGAGGGGAUGGUGAUGGUGGGGGUGGUGACUUAUAGUAGUAUGGUGGGUGUGGAAUUUCUUUAGGUGGGGGAGGAGAAUGAUAAUAGUAUGGUGGAGGGGGGGAUGAUCUUGGAGGUGGAGGAGAUUUGUAAUAGUAUAAGGUGGGGGAGGGGAUGGUGAAGGUGGUGGAGGAGACUUGUAGUAGUAAGGUGGGGGAGGGGAUGGUGAAGGUGGUGGAGGAGACUUGUAAUAGUAUGGUGGAGGAGGGGAUGGUGAUGGUGGGGGUGGUGACUUAUAGUAGUAUGGUGGGUGUGGAAUUUCUUUAGGUGGGGGAGGAGAAUGAUAAUAGUAUGGUGGAGGGGGGGAUGAUCUUGGAGGUGGAGGAGAUUUGUAAUAGUAUGGAGGUGGAGGGGAUGGAGAUGGUGGUGGUGGAGACUUGUAGUAAUAAGGUGGAGAAUAAUAAUGGACGGGUGGAGGCGGAGAUUUGUACUUAUAGACUGGUGUUGGAGGAGGAGGUGAUUUGUAGUAGUAAGGAGGGUUAGGUAUAGGUGAUGGUGGAGGUGGAGACUUGUAGUAAUAUGGAGGAGAAUAGUAAUGUACAGGUGGAGGUGGAGACUUGUACACGUAAGUAGGUGAUGGUGGAGGUGGUGACUUGUACAAGUAAGUAGGUGAUGGUGGAGGAGGUGAUUUGUACAAGUAAGUUGGUGAUGGUGGUGGUGGGGAAUUGUACUUGUAAACUGGUGUUGGAGGAGGAGGUGACUUGUAGUAGUAAGGAGGUGUAGGUACAGGAGAUGGUGGAGGUGGAGAAUUGUAAUAAUAAGGGGGUGAUUUCACAGGAGGGGGAGGUGACUUGUAGUAAUACGGAGGAGAAUAAUAAUGGACAGGCGGAGGGGGUGACUUGUACGUGUAAGUUGGUGACGGUGGAGGCGGUGACUUGUAUAUGUAAACUGGUGUAGGAGGAGGAGGUGACUUGUAGUAGUAAGGAGUUGGUGAAGGCUUAGGUUUUUCACAUUCUUCAAAAUGCUUCUUAGAAGCAUAAGCGAAGGGCUUAGCCUUGAGCACAACUUCAUACUUAUCUUUGGAUUUGACCUUCAAGUCGG